Molecule: transfer RNA, 74 nt
Organism: Variovorax paradoxus
Lineage: Bacteria; Pseudomonadati; Pseudomonadota; Betaproteobacteria; Burkholderiales; Comamonadaceae
Rfam family: tRNA
About the family: Transfer RNA (tRNA) molecules are approximately 80 nucleotides in length.
Source: Rfam
CGGGGUGUAGCGCAGCCUGGUAGCGCAUCUGGUUUGGGACCAGAGGGUCGAAGGUUCGAAUCCUUUCGCCCCGA